GUCUACGGCCAUGCCACCCUGAACGAGCCCGAUCCCGUCUGAUCUCAGAAGCUAAGCAGGGUCGAGCCUGGUUAGUGCUUGGAUGGGAAACCACCUAGGAGGACCAUGUGCUGUAGGCG
This 119-nucleotide ribosomal RNA is filed under the name Pteropus alecto (black flying fox). The record is from RNAcentral. Lineage: Eukaryota; Metazoa; Chordata; Mammalia; Chiroptera; Pteropodidae.